Molecule: long non-coding RNA, 1310 nt
Organism: Monodelphis domestica (gray short-tailed opossum)
Lineage: Eukaryota; Metazoa; Chordata; Mammalia; Didelphimorphia; Didelphidae
Source: RefSeq, a predicted model, not a curated record
AGAACACUCUUGAUUGUUGCCCAUACCUAGAAUAAGCUUGCUCCCCACCUCUACUUUCAGCUUCCCUGGUUUUUAUUUAACACUCAAUUUCAAUCCUAGCUUCUGCAAGAAGCCCUUUCCUGAUAGCCAUCCCACAUAGACACAUGAAACUGAACUGUGUGACUGCUUGUCCUCUCUGAAGAACUGUUUUAAUGGAUCGUAUGAUCAUCUAUUUAGAACUGGAAGUCACUAUGUCCAAGCUCUUCUCCCUCCCUCCAUUAUUCAGAGUUGAAAUAUCAGGAAUCCUAUUUCCCUAGUCUGUCCUCAGAUCCAAGAUGAGUUCUGGGGAGCAUAUGGCAUAGUAGAGAAGAGUGUUGGACUUGGAACCAGGAAGACUUGAAUCUGAAUCCAAUCUUGUGAGUGUAUUUGCAUUGUCCUCUCCUACUACCUUUCACAACUACCUCUGGACACUGCAACUGCCUCUGGAAGGCUUGUAGCUACUGCUGCCAUUUAGCCCUGACCAUUAAGAAGAGACUUCCACUGGGAUAUCUGGAUCAUCUAAACUUACAAGGUCACCUGCACACUACCCUAUUGAAAUAUUCAUUAACCCACAAUAAGGAAAGAACAGAAAGGAGGAGAGGAAGCCAUUGCUCAAAGGCACCAUAACUUUCCCACCAGAAGGGAAACUGAUAAGCCACCCUUCCCCCACCUGACUCCUAGAUAUAAUCUGGAGUAGCCCGACCUGAAUCAAAGCUGCUAAGGAGAGAGAGAGCAACAGAAGGAGAGGCGAACUCCUGAGUAGAGCUCAGCAACCUCUGAGUCAUCUGUGCUUCUGGCUCCACAGCCAAUUUGAAGAUGCUUCAUCAUCCCACAGAACCAGCUUCUCAGUCACUCAAGACCAGAAACAGGCUGCCCUCAAGUUUCCAUUUGGUUUCUGAAACCAGGCAAGGAAUAUCUGCACAUGCUUUGUAUAACCCAAUAGGAAGUGAAAAUCUGAAAAUGCUCCAUGCUGGUUACCCAAAAAAUAGUUGAUGUUUGAAAGACUACAUUUGUAUAAUACAUGAAGAAAAGUUUUUUUCAAUCUCUUCAUUUUGAAACCUUAGAACAUGUUUGUGACAUUUGCCAACAUUAUAAAUUUGGGCUAGCAAGACACACCCUCAUAUUAUUUAUUUUCUCAUAGACACAUGGCUUAUCGUUAAGGUAAAUUGCCAUUAAACCCCACACAGCCUACUAGUUCAAAUAGAUGAAUGACUCAAAAUUAUGAUUAAUUUCCACUUACAUGGUUUGUUGUUUGAUUCAUUUGAAAAAUAAAACUUCUUAUGAAAGCCAAA